RNAcentral lists this long non-coding RNA (468 nucleotides) under Ananas comosus (pineapple). Its description in RNAcentral is "long non-coding RNA (ACOM_LNC024313)". Lineage: Eukaryota; Viridiplantae; Streptophyta; Magnoliopsida; Poales; Bromeliaceae. The record is from RNAcentral.
GUUCCGCUGUGUAGAAUUCUAAUAUACAUGAUUUAUACUUGUGUUGAGCCUUGGGCGGACAGGGGAGGUGCUGUCCGUUCGGCGUCUGUUCGACGUGUCCGAACCGACCAAAUAGGCCGGUCCCGGAGCGUGACAAAAUAAGACUUCAAAACUCCUAAUUGUGUCUAAGUCAUAGAGUCUGUUUUAGGAAUUCUUAUGUAAUUUUGAAUCAUAUGUAACUUUGGAUUACACGCGAGAGGUUCGAUGUUUUGGUGAUGACAUUGAACUUCGUUUUUUAUUUGUGAUGUACUUUUAAGUUUUGUCACGAAAUUGUCAAAGGGAGAGAUUGUUAGGAAUUUUGUAUUGGCAAGUUUCGUGAUUUGAGUUGGAGUCUUGAAGGGUUCGGUUCGUGUUGUUGAAGAUCGAAGAAUUUGGGAUUCCGAAAAACUCAGAAAUAUUUCACUGGAUGAAUCACGAUGCUCAGGUAAG